Daphnia pulicaria is the source of this 3261-nucleotide long non-coding RNA. RefSeq lists it as uncharacterized. The record is from RefSeq and is a predicted model, not a curated record. Lineage: Eukaryota; Metazoa; Arthropoda; Branchiopoda; Diplostraca; Daphniidae. The transcript has 8 exons.
UAGCAAAAUCCACCCCACGAUCCGAAAAUAACUGCAAAAUCCGGCGGAGAUGACUGAGGAGCGGAAGCUGAUUGCUGAGAUAAUCUUCCCUCCAGGUCUAAUCCUGUUCGUGUUCCUAACAAUAACGCUACUUUUUCCUGAUCUUGACCAAUCGCAAUUGUGAAAUCUGUUGAAGAUGAUUGGGGAGUAGCUGCUGAUGUCAGUAAACGUGGUUCAGUUUCCAACGCUAACACAAUGCGAAUCAUCCCUCAACUGGAUGAAUGGAAUGAUUCUAGAACAGGAUAGGGAUAUGAUCCUAAUUUCAUGGCAAACAGCCAAGAAUUAAGCCAAUGAAGAAUGAAUCCAGUUCCUUGGAAUAGGACAAUCAAUCACGGACGCAGAAGUUCCAAGGCCGAUAUGAAAAAGAUUGGACGUCAAAUUCUGUUCUUGCUGACUUGGAAAUGCCCAAAUCAAUGAGAAUUGUGGGCACUAUAUCGAACCCGAAAAAGUUUUAAAUUACUUGGGAGAGUGUGCGAAACGGCCAAUGAAAGAAUUUGUGUUUUUUCGAUAUAUUCCAGCUACCCUGCAGCUAUUAUCCUUGGAGUGUUUCAAAGACUUUCAUGUCGUUCCAUUGGGCAAAGAAAGUCCGAUGCCUUUGGAGUUGAUGACGUUUUUUAUAAGAUCUUUUCGGGAAAAUAGCAAGGCAGAUUUUAUAUUGGACGUUGUGGUGUUCCGGUUUUUACAGCGUGCUGUGGACCAACCAAGUUGUAAUGCUUCGUUGCCGGAAAAGAAAGCAGUUUGCGUCACCCAAAGUGAAGCAGAAUUGGAAAGCAUCAGAAUUCAAGAAACUCAAAAUUCAGAAUCCACUCUAGUUGCUUAUGCCCAGAUCCCCACUCAUAUGACUACUAUUCGACAAAAGACAUCCUCAGCGUUGAUCCCGUCAAAGCUAAAAUUCAGUCAAACUCUUCCCAACUGAAGUCUUCCUUGUCAAGGCCUCCGUCUGUUGCUAAAUCAAUUCCUGUAUAGUUUCAUCUUCGGCGAUAGCGGAAUCCAGUGAAGACAAUACGCCUGUCAAAACCACGGCCGCUGUUGUUGUUGAUGUUGAUGUAAAAAGUCAUAUUAGAGGAACUGAACCGUCAAGCUGGAGCUAUAUGAAACACGGAAAGUCGACAGAAGUUACAGGGUCUGCUUCGUCAAUUGGAGCAUCCAGCCUUGAAUUUUCCUCUUCAAGUGGACCACCUACUCGAUCGAGAACAAAAAGUAAACCCAUACUGGAAGAAAGUUCUGCAUCUAAACGGUCCCAAAACCUGGUCUUACCGAAGGAGCCGAAUCUCCCCUUUACGUUUAAGGAGAAUGGAGAAUUGGAAACUGACAGCGUGCAGCGAAAGGCCCACAUUAGUUCGAGAAAGAGUAUUCAAAUCACGAAGACUUGACCGCUCUCAAAAUGGUUCCAGUCGUUCGAUCAAGGAUAACAAUCAGAAAAAUUCAGCUAGUUCUCGUUCUGUUCGCGAAAAAAGUGAUAAAGUGAGUUCGAGAAGCUCUAAAAGUUCUCGUCGUGAUUCCGAUUCCAGCAGCAAACGUUCCGGUAAUCAUCGUAGUGAUCGCGACAAGAAAGCAGAUGCUAAGGAGCGCGAUCAUCAUCGUUCAUCGAGGAGUAUAGGCUACUCUCUCUCUCCCGGAGGUUGAUAAUUGCUUGCCGACAAGCCGCUUUGAACAGAUAGCGACGGGCCAAAAUUGGGGAAACAAAUUUUUAUCGCCAGUGAUGCCACUCUGACGCCCUGCCUCGUGGAUGGAACGGAGAGCGCCUAAAGUGCCAGUAUGGUACAGAAGAUGCAAGAGUCUAAUGAUCAACUUACUGCAGCGGGAGACCAACAAGCCGGUGGGGGAACCUCCCGAGGUCAUUGAUUACCAAAAGAUGUUUACCGAAACCAAAACUUUCACAAAGACGAUCAAUCUGCAGCUGCGCUAGCUCGACGUUCAGCAGGCUUUACAACACGUGUUUUAUCUCUGCACGUACAUGCCAGACUCAUUCAUGGCCCGUGGAGGGGACUAUCACAGCGUGCAGCAACUUCUCUUGAUGUCUAGACUGCUCUUCAAAUGCGACAUGCUUGCCGCUCAAGUGAAAGAGAAGUUUCCCGGCUCGGCUGGGGUUAUCUGUCAAACACUCUUAAAUCCCCUGCGGCUGACCAGUGCAUCUUUGGAGCUAGGAUGCUUCAAUGGCUCUUGUCACUCUAGGGAGUCAGUCGCCAGUUCUCGUACGCGCUGAACAGCUGUUCACCGCAGCAGUUUUUUUUUCGAGAUGAGCACGCUUCAUUAUCAGGAGAUGCUGCAACAAGAGAAAGCCAUCGAUUUUUACAUGGAACUCUUGCGUAAAGAUCAGCUGGAUGAAAAUGUCCAGUUGGAUGCAUUGGAGAAGGUGGUCAAUUAUUUAAACAGCAUCUACGCCGUCCAGUUCAGCUCGGUCGUUAACGGUGCCACUUUACUGACCAACCAUGACAAAGUCCUGCUCGCUUCCUGCUGUUGAUUGACAUCUCUGGGUACCGGCGUUCAGGCAAUGAUGCAGUAGAGUGGACAUGAAGGACGUGGCGUGGCGAAAUCCAUCAAGAAAGUUCUCAGUCAAGCAAACCAACGGCAGCAAUACGCCCGUACGAUUAAGCGAAGGUUGCCUCUGCUGAUGGGUCCACCGGUCCUAUCAAUCUUCCUAUGGAAACCUCGCCCAAGCUGAUUCAAUGUGCCGGUCAUUUCACCAGAUUGCUCAAAACUAUGUUGGCGUGGUGCCGCAUGGUCUCUCAACAAACUUUUCGUCAGCAGCGAGACGAAUGCUGGCGUAGCCAUUGCCAAAAUGCGAGAAUUGGCUCACGCAGCUGCUGACCACUUGCACCAGAUGGUUUUGACGAUGGUGUAAAAAAAAAUAAAAUGGUUAAAAGAAUUAAAAUAUUCGCAACAAGAAAUAAAAGAAAAAACAACCAAACAAAAGGAAAGCUAAAUUUACAUCUCUCCUCUCUCCCUUUUCUCUUUUUCAUUUCUUCGAUGGCCCUUCUGUUUGGUGAAGGUUCGUUCAUCGUUGAUCAACUUGGUGUCCCAGUUCAGCAAGUUGCACAGCGACAAGAAGCAAAUCAGUGUGGGUUUCAUCGGCUACCUGAACGUUGGAAACUCAUUUGUCAUCAAUACGUUACCCAUCAAGAAAGUCUACAAGUGGACGCCCAUCGCCGGUGAGACUAAAGUUUGGCAGCACAUCACGCUUUUGCGUCGAAUUUUCCUUAUCGAUUGUUCAGGAGCUGU